UACAGAGGGGGCAAGCGUUGUUCGGAAUUACUGGGCGUAAAGGGCGUGUAGGCGGCCUGUUAAGUCGAACGUGAAAUCCCCGGGCUCAACCCGGGAACUGCGUCCGAUACUGGCAGGCUUGAAUCCGGGAGAGGGAUGUGGAAUUCCAGGUGUAGCAGUGAAAUGCGUAGAUAUCUGGAGGAACACCGGUGGCGAAGGCGGCAUCCUGGACCGGUAUUGACGCUGAUGAGCGAAAGCCAGGGGAGCAAACGGG
RNAcentral lists this ribosomal RNA (253 nucleotides) under uncultured bacterium. RNAcentral describes it as "partial 16S ribosomal RNA". It matches the Rfam family "Bacterial small subunit ribosomal RNA", at positions 524 to 776 of the family's 1533-position model. The record is from RNAcentral.